RNAcentral lists this ribosomal RNA (786 nucleotides) under Acrobeloides sp. PP2. Its description in RNAcentral is "eukaryotic LSU rRNA". It matches the Rfam family "Eukaryotic large subunit ribosomal RNA", at positions 342 to 964 of the family's 3401-position model. The record is from RNAcentral. Lineage: Eukaryota; Metazoa; Nematoda; Chromadorea; Rhabditida; Cephalobidae.
UUACAAGUACCCUGAGGGAAAGUUGAAAAGUACUUUGAAGAGAGAGUUCAAGAGGACGUGAAACCGGUAGGAUGGAAACGGAUAGAGCCAACGAACAAGCCCGUAUUCAGCUAGUCGGCUGCGUGCGGCAUGCCUGUGUGCUCGUUCAGGGUGCAUGGGUGUGUGCGGUAUGCGGUCGGCUAGUGCAUUUGCGGGUGAUGUGCGCUGAGGCGUGUGGCGGAGUCCUGCAAACUGUCUGGAGAGGCCUCGCCUUCGGGCUUGAAACCUACAGGCGGGGAGUCGGGUUUCUGCUGCAUGUAGACGAAGCGGCUAGGUGCAAACGCGCUGUCGUGCUGCCGGGCUAGCUGCUUGGCCGGUCGCAUGCGACUAGGUCUUGUUGGUUGGUCUUGGUGGUACGGCAGUGCCCUGGUCGACCCUCGGUGUAAAAGUUGGUCAUCUCUCCGACCCGUCUUGAAACACGGACCAAGGAGUCUAGCGUAUGCGCGAGUCAUUGGGUGGAAAACCCAUAGGCGAAAUGAAAGUGAAGGUCUCUUCAUGAGGCUGAUAUGCGAUCCGUUGCACUACGGUGUACGCGGAGCAGCAUAGCCCCGUCUCGACUGCUUGCAGUGGGGCGGAGGUAGAGCGUAUACGCUGGUACCCGAAAGAUGGUGAACUAUGCCUGAGCAGGAUGAAGCCAGAGGAAACUCUGGUGGAGGUCCGAAGCGCUUCUGACGUGCAAAUCGAUCGUCUGACUUGGGUAUAGGGGCGAAAGACUAAUCGAACCAUCUAGUAGCUGGUUCCCUUCCA